GCCCGUGUGGCUCAGCGGAUAGAGCGCUGGCCUGAGGACUGAAGGGUCCCAGGUUCGAUUCCAGGCAAGGGCA
This 73-nucleotide transfer RNA is filed under the name Myotis brandtii (Brandt's bat). It matches the Rfam family "tRNA". Rfam says of the family: Transfer RNA (tRNA) molecules are approximately 80 nucleotides in length. Lineage: Eukaryota; Metazoa; Chordata; Mammalia; Chiroptera; Vespertilionidae. The record is from Rfam by way of RNAcentral.